CCUACGGGUGGCAGCAGUGAGGAAUAUUGGUCAAUGGACGCAAGUCUGAACCAGCCAAGUAGCGUGCAGGAUGACGGCCCUAUGGGUUGUAAACUGCUUUUAUACAGGAAUAAAACGAGGCACGUGUGCCUUGUUGCAUGUAUUUUAUGAAUAAGGAUCGGCUAACUCCGUGCCAGCAGCCGCGGUAAUACGGAGGAUUCAAGCGUUAUCCGGAUUUAUUGGGUUUAAAGGGUGCGUAGGUGGGUUGAUAAGUUAGAUGUGAAAGCCUGGGGCUCAACCCUAGAAUUGCAUUUGAUACUGGCGGGCUUGAGUAUAGUUGCGGUAGGCGGAAUGCAUGGUGUAGCGGUGAAAUGCUUAGAGAUCAUACAGAACCCCGAUUGCGAAGGCAGCUUACCAAACUGCGACUGACGUUGAGGCUCGAAAGUGUGGGUAGCAAACAGGAUUAGAUACCCGUGUAGUC
RNAcentral lists this ribosomal RNA (460 nucleotides) under uncultured bacterium. RNAcentral describes it as "partial 16S ribosomal RNA". It matches the Rfam family "Bacterial small subunit ribosomal RNA", at positions 338 to 795 of the family's 1533-position model. The record is from RNAcentral.